Molecule: long non-coding RNA, 415 nt
Organism: Mus musculus (house mouse)
Lineage: Eukaryota; Metazoa; Chordata; Mammalia; Rodentia; Muridae
Product: predicted gene 13583
Exons: 3
Source: RefSeq, a predicted model, not a curated record
GCCUCAGUUGAGAACAUGCACCUAUAGAAUGGCCCAUGGUGCUGGUGCUUUAAGAAAGCAGGCCGAGCAAACAAUGGAGAGCAAUCCAGAAAACACCCUUCUUCCACAGCCUCUGCAUCAGCUCCUGUCUUCAGGUUCCUCCUGUCUUUCCCUGACUUCCCUUCACGAUGGAUUGUAAUCUGUGAGGUCCCGCAAGCCUGGAAGGCAAGACCCUGCCCCUUACCUCGCCCUAAUUUGGAGGACAAGAGGAUGUGCGGAAGAGACUGUCCCAUCUGCCCCGGGACAGUACACAAGCAACCACAAUACAAACUAGGCCUUGCUCUUACUUGUCUUGCUCAACUCCUACCCGUUUUCCGCCCCGAGUCCCGGGUGCCAAUCAGCCCCCAGUUCGGCGCUGCGGACACUCACCACGCCA